This 682-nucleotide ribosomal RNA is filed under the name Streptomyces sp. KLBMP 03746. RNAcentral's name for it is "bacterial SSU rRNA". It matches the Rfam family "Bacterial small subunit ribosomal RNA", at positions 56 to 755 of the family's 1533-position model. Lineage: Bacteria; Bacillati; Actinomycetota; Actinomycetes; Kitasatosporales; Streptomycetaceae. The record is from RNAcentral.
UGCAGUCGACGAUGAACCGGUUUCGGCCGGGGAUUAGUGGCGAACGGGUGAGUAACACGUGGGCAAUCUGCCCUGCACUCUGGGAUAAGCCCGGGAAACUGGGUCUAAUACCGGAUACGACACUCCGAGGCAUCUUGGGGUGUGGAAAGUUCCGGCGGUGCAGGAUGAGCCCGCGGCCUAUCAGCUUGUUGGUGGGGUAAUGGCCUACCAAGGCGACGACGGGUAGCCGGCCUGAGAGGGUGACCGGCCACACUGGGACUGAGACACGGCCCAGACUCCUACGGGAGGCAGCAGUGGGGAAUAUUGCACAAUGGGCGAAAGCCUGAUGCAGCGACGCCGCGUGAGGGAUGACGGCCUUCGGGUUGUAAACCUCUUUCAGCAGGGAAGAAGCGAAAGUGACGGUACCUGCAGAAGAAGCACCGGCUAACUACGUGCCAGCAGCCGCGGUAAUACGUAGGGUGCGAGCGUUGUCCGGAAUUAUUGGGCGUAAAGAGCUCGUAGGCGGUUUGUCGCGUCGAUUGUGAAAGCCCGGGGCUUAACCCUGGGUCUGCAGUCGAUACGGGCAGGCUAGAGUUCGGCAGGGGAGACUGGAAUUCCUGGUGUAGCGGUGAAAUGCGCAGAUAUCAGGAGGAACACCGGUGGCGAAGGCGGGUCUCUGGGCCGAUACUGACGCUGAGGAGCG